GCUUUGUCUAUGAGGUGUCUUUG
RNAcentral lists this non-coding RNA (23 nucleotides) under Cricetulus griseus (Chinese hamster). The record is from RNAcentral. Lineage: Eukaryota; Metazoa; Chordata; Mammalia; Rodentia; Cricetidae.